UAACGUAAUUCACGAUGCUUCACGUGGAGCGUUUAAACAAACAAAAAAAAAAAAGAACUGACUGUGACUUUGUUUCAUUAUUGCACAAAAGGAAAAAUACCUCAUGAUCAUUACGGGCCGUGGAAGCCUGUGGGAUAAACUCUAGUGGACGUUGACCUGCAGGUCAUGUGACCCAGUCACCUGCGAGUGGACUUUCAUUUUGUGUUGAUAUCAGUGACGUAUUCUGUCGUGAGACGUGUUGCUUUCAGUAAUCGAAGAACAAAAAUAUGUUUGAUGUUUAAAGUUAAAACGUAACGAUAGAAAAAUGAAAUGUUAUUUUUUGCCAGUUGAAAAAACACAAAAGUUCUAUUUUAAAUUUCUGCAUGGCCGUGUUUUUACCUGUCUGUAAAUGAUGACAAAACUGUGUGGCGUGAACCUGUCAUGUGUUGAUUUGUGGAAUUUUCGUUGAGUUGAUGCAAAAAUCAAUGCAUUUGUUCAGGUUGUGUAAAUUUAUUGUUUGCUGGAAAAAAAUUAUCUUAAUGGAAUAAAUAAUAAAAAAAAAAAGAAUAAAAAAAGUUUUCCCUGUUUUUAUAUUCAGCAAAAUGAAAGUGGAGAUUAUGAAUUAGCUGCAAAAGCAAUUAUGUUUAACAGCUACAGCAGCUGAAAACAACACUGAUCUAAUGCUAAUUUUAUUCCCUUUAUUUAACCACAGGCUUUGAAAUGUAAUCACAUGAGGACGAACGGACGGAGACAGACAGAACCAAUCAGUUUAACCCUGUGUUGUCCUUUGGGUCUAGGUGACCCGGUGACCCGGUGGCUGAUAAUACAGUUCUGGGACAAGACGCAAACCUGGUGUAUGUGGGUGUGUGGGUUUUUUUUCUUUUUCUUGCAGGAUCACAUGACAGGAAAACCGUGUGUGGAUUGGUCGAUUGGCGUCCAUUUAAACCGACUGGCGCCGGCCUUCUUCCCCUUUUUCCCCUUCCCCAUAAAAUGUGGAUGAGAAGCGAAAGCGGGGCUGAAAAAAGAAGAAGAAGAAGAAAAUGGUGAAGUGAUGAGAUGCAGGUGUGAAGAAGAGGAUGAUAAUGAAGAACAGGUGAGGAAGGAGCAGGAGGAGCAGGAGCAGGAUGCUGACAAGAGGUUUCGUGUAAAGUUAACACGGCUGACUCGACACUACAAACGACUCUCACGUGAGACUGGAGUGCAGAUCAAUCAUCCGUCCAAGGACACGUCUCUGCUGUGGACAAGUCUGUCCCUGAAUCAGCAGGUCUCGCACUUCACAUCCCUGUGUCUGCACACCCGGUUAGCACGACGGUGCUGUUUAUGAACUAGCGUCGGGAUGCUAAUGCUAUUAGUAUAAUAUAUGGCAAUCGCAUUUUUAUUCAACAUAAUUGUUUUCACACAAUACG
Cynoglossus semilaevis (tongue sole) is the source of this 1385-nucleotide long non-coding RNA. RefSeq lists it as uncharacterized. Lineage: Eukaryota; Metazoa; Chordata; Actinopteri; Pleuronectiformes; Cynoglossidae. The record is from RefSeq and is a predicted model, not a curated record. The transcript is spliced from 4 exons.